Molecule: non-coding RNA, 540 nt
Organism: Pelobates cultripes (western spadefoot toad)
Lineage: Eukaryota; Metazoa; Chordata; Amphibia; Anura; Pelobatidae
Source: the annotation of a GenBank genome assembly
UUGAGGAGGCGGUGUCCAUGGCAGUGUAGGUGGAAGCAGCGGUGCGGGAGGAGGAUGAGGUAGCCAACACUGUUUUUUAUGGGUUUUUUUUUAAUUGUGGUAGCCCACAAAAUAUUGGGACAUAUAAAAAAAGACAACUCUGUUGCGCAGAGUAGCUGUUGACAUUAUAGUUGCGCAGGCACUUUGUUGACUCGGGCCAAUCACACAUCCUCGUGGUGGUGACUUUGCAUGCGGAUGUCAUCCAUAUCAACUUUCGAUGCCAGUUUCUGCGCCUACCAUGGUGACCACGGGUAACGGGGAAUCAGGGUUCCAUUCCAUACAGGGACCCUGAGAAACGGCUACCACAUGCAAGGAACGCAACAGGCAUGCAAAUGACCCACUCCCGACACGGGAAGGUAGUAACGACAAAUAACAAUACAGGACUCUUUAGAGGCAGUUUAAUUGUAAUGAAUCCACUUGAAAUACUUUAACUCUGAUCAAUUGGAGGGAAGUCUGGUGCAGGGCCACUGACCUGUGUGUGCUGCAGCUGAAACUCCAUUA